GACGAACGCUGGCGGCGUGCUUAACACAUGCAAGUCGAACGGAAAGGUCCUGCUGUUGUGGGGUGCUCGAGUGGCGAACGGGUGAGUAACACGUGAGUAACCUCCCCUUGACUUUGGGAUAACUUCAGGAAACUGGGGCUAAUACCGGAUCGUAGCUCCUGCUGCAUGGAGGGGGGUGGCAAGUUUCGGCGUGUGGUGAUGGACUCGCGGCUUAUCAUCUUGUUUGUGGGGUAUUGGCUUACCAAGGCAUUGACGGGUAGCCGACAUGAGAGGGUGAACGGCGCCAUUGGGACUGCGGUACGGACCAGUGUGCAACGUGAGACAGCAGUGGGGAAUAUUACACAGUAAGCGGAAGCGUGAUGAGACAGCGCCGCGUGCGGAAUGACGUCCUUCGGGUUGUAAAACGCUUUCGCCUGAUACGAAGCGUGAGUGACGGUAAUGGGAAAAGAAGCACCGGCUAACUACGUG
Molecule: ribosomal RNA, 468 nt
Filed under: uncultured bacterium
Lineage: Bacteria
Description: partial 16S ribosomal RNA
Rfam family: Bacterial small subunit ribosomal RNA
Source: RNAcentral